RNAcentral lists this ribosomal RNA (116 nucleotides) under Acanthosepion pharaonis. The record is from RNAcentral. Lineage: Eukaryota; Metazoa; Mollusca; Cephalopoda; Sepiida; Sepiidae.
UUGCAGCCAUAGCACGUUGAAACAUCGGUUCCCGUACGAUCACCAAAAAAUAAGCAAACGUCGAGCCUGGUCAGUACUUAGAUGGGUGACCGCUUGGGAAUACCAGGUGUUGUAAG